CGAAGUAAGUAACAAUUAUAACUCCAAAAAUUGAUGAAAUGUUUGCAUUAGACGUAGGAAGUUGGUUAAGGAAAGGGAAGUGUGAAAUUGAGAAAUAAAUCUACAAAACCCCACACAUACAUUGUUACUUGACAGGAAUGCUAGAUCAGUGGACGUACAAACUUCUUGAGGCGUUGAUGAAACCAAAUGCUAGAAGUGUAUUCUGAUAACUUUUGAG
Molecule: long non-coding RNA, 217 nt
Filed under: Panax ginseng (ginseng)
Lineage: Eukaryota; Viridiplantae; Streptophyta; Magnoliopsida; Apiales; Araliaceae
Description: long non-coding RNA (PGIN_LNC000867)
Source: RNAcentral